GCACAAGCGGUGGAGCAUGUGGAUUAAUUCGAUGCAACGCGAAGAACCUUACCUGGGUUUGACAUGCACAGGACGACUGCAGAGAUGUGGUUUCCCUUGUGGCCUGUGUGCAGGUGGUGCAUGGCUGUCGUCAGCUCGUGUCGUGAGAUGUUGGGUUAAGUCCCGCAACGAGCGCAACCCUUGUCUCAUGUUGCCAGCGCGUUAUGGCGGGGACUCGUGAGAGACUGCCGGGGUCAACUCGGAGGAAGGUGGGGAUGACGUCAAGUCAUCAUGCCCCUUAUGUCCAGGGCUUCACACAUGCUACAAUGGCCGGUACAAAGGGCUGCGAUGCCGUGAGGUGGAGCGAAUCCUUUCAAAGCCGGUCUCAGUUCGGAUCGGGGUCUGCAACUCGACCCCGUGAAGUCGGAGUCGCUAGUAAUCGCAGAUCAGCAACGCUGCGGUGAAUACGUUCCCGGGC
RNAcentral lists this ribosomal RNA (457 nucleotides) under uncultured bacterium. RNAcentral's name for it is "bacterial SSU rRNA". It matches the Rfam family "Bacterial small subunit ribosomal RNA", at positions 923 to 1379 of the family's 1533-position model. The record is from RNAcentral.